Molecule: microRNA, 19 nt
Filed under: Cervus elaphus (red deer)
Lineage: Eukaryota; Metazoa; Chordata; Mammalia; Artiodactyla; Cervidae
Description: PC-3p-1698
Source: RNAcentral
CGGAGCGCUGAGAAGACGG